AAGUCGAACGCGCAGCAAUGCGAGUGGCGGACGGGUGCGGAACACGUAAGGAACAUACCUAUGGGUGGGGAAUAACUGCGGGAAAUUGCAGCUAAUACCGCAUAAUGCAGCGGGCCCGCAUGGGCAUAGUUGUUAAAGCAGCAAUGCGCCUAUAGAUUGCCUUGCGUCUGAUUAGCUAGUUGGCGGGGUAACGGCCCACCAAGGCGACGAUCAGUAACUGGUCUUAGAGGAUGAUCAGUCACACUGGCACUGAGACACGGGCCAGACUCCUACGGGAGGCAGCAGUAGGGAAUAUUGGGCAAUGGGCGAAAGCCUGACCCAGCCAUGCCGCGUGAGGGAAGAAGGUCCACCGGAUUGUAAACCUCUUUUAUACCGGAAUAAGGCUCUUGUAACUCAAGAGUUUGAAGGUACGGUAGGAAUAAGCACCGGCAAACUACGUGCCAGCAGCCGCGGUAAUACGUAGGGUGCAAGCGUUGUCCGGAUUUACUGGGUUUAAAGGGUGCGUAGGCGGGCGUGAAAGUCGGUGAUGAAAUGUCAGGGCUUAACCUUGGCGCUGUUACCGAUACUCCGCGCCUUGAGAGCGGGCUAAGGCAGCUGGAAUGAGUGGUGUAGCGGUGAAAUGCGUAGAG
Molecule: ribosomal RNA, 629 nt
Filed under: uncultured bacterium
Lineage: Bacteria
Description: bacterial SSU rRNA
Rfam family: Bacterial small subunit ribosomal RNA
Source: RNAcentral